RNAcentral lists this ribosomal RNA (264 nucleotides) under uncultured bacterium. RNAcentral describes it as "partial 16S ribosomal RNA". It matches the Rfam family "Bacterial small subunit ribosomal RNA", at positions 1238 to 1500 of the family's 1533-position model. The record is from RNAcentral.
UACAAAGAGAAGCAAGACCGUGAGGUGGNGCAAAACUCAAAAACUUGUCUCAGUUCGGAUUGUAGGCUGAAACUCGCCUACAUGAAGCUGGAGUUGCUAGUAAUCGCGAAUCAGCAUGUCGCGGUGAAUACGUUCCCGGGUCUUGUACACACCGCCCGUCACACCACGGAAGUUGGGGGCGCCCGAAGCCACUUAGCUAACCCUUUUGGGAAGCGAGUGUCGAAGGUGAAAUCAAUAACUGGGGUGAAGUCGUAACAAGGUACC